RNAcentral lists this ribosomal RNA (1720 nucleotides) under Erioscyphella abnormis. Its description in RNAcentral is "bacterial SSU rRNA". It matches the Rfam family "Eukaryotic small subunit ribosomal RNA", at positions 62 to 1148 of the family's 1831-position model. Lineage: Eukaryota; Fungi; Ascomycota; Leotiomycetes; Helotiales; Lachnaceae. The record is from RNAcentral.
AGUAUAGCAAUCUAUACGGUGAAACUGCGAAUGGCUCAUUAAAUCAGUUAUCGUUUAUUUGAUAGUACCUUACUACUUGGAUAACCGUGGUAAUUCUAGAGCUAAUACAUGCUAAAAACCCCGACUUCGGAAGGGGUGUAUUUAUUAGAUAAAAAACCAAUGCCCUUCGGGGCUCCUUGGUGAUUCAUAAUAACUUAACGAAUCGCAUGGCCUUGUGCCGGCGAUGGUUCAUUCAAAUUUCUGCCCUAUCAACUUUCGAUUGUAAGGUAUUGGCUUACAAUGGUUUCAACGGGUAACGGGGAAUUAGGGUUCGAAGUAGAAGCCCAAGGCCUAACAGCCUAGUCCUUUUUUGGGGGCAACACGCCUGGAUGUCGGGGAAGUCUUGAGGCCUGCAGUACCACACACUGGGUGACACCCAGUGCCUUUCGGGGGGUAACAACCUGCAGGAUUAGGCGACCCGCAGCCGAAGUUGGCUACCUCUCAGCAGGGUCAACCGGUUCAACGCUCGGUAAGGCGUGGGCUCUCUAGAGCUUAAGGUACGAGCUACGCCCGCUGGAAACAGCGUCCUGUUUAGCGGUGCGCCGCGAUGCAGGGGAACGCCAGAGUGAUUAUAGAUCUGGUGGGUAGUACGGUCUAUUCCGGAGAAGGAGCCUGAGAAACGGCUACUACAUCCAAGGAAGGCAGCAGGCGCGCAAAUUACCCAAUCCCGACACGGGGAGGUAGUGACAAUAAAUACUGAUACAGGGCUCUUUUGGGUCUUGUAAUUGGAAUGAGUACAAUUUAAAUCCCUUAACGAGGAACAAUUGGAGGGCAAGUCUGGUGGAUGUCAAUCCUGGGGGGCUCCGGCUCCCCUGCUGGCGCCAGAAAUAGUUUGGUAGUGAUCAUUCUAGUCGCUGUACAGCACGCUUUGGGCGUACAGCGGCAAGACAACCUUGAUCGGGGGAGGCUGUAGUUGUAGUACUAUGCUAACCCCGAGCCGAGUCCCUAGCAAUAGGGGCCGGUCUAGAGCACGCCAAGGUGUCGGCGCCCUCACUGGGGGUGCUUAAGGUACGUGCCGUCCCUCGCGAAAGCCUGUCUAUGCGGGAGUUCCCAGAGAACAACUGUAUAGAGGUAUGAUCUUCGGGUCUACUGGACACUAAACGGCCAGCAGCCGCGGUAAUUCCAGCUCCAAUAGCGUAUAUUAAAGUUGUUGCAGUUAAAAAGCUCGUAGUUGAACCUUGGGCCUGGUUGGCCGGUCCGCCUCACCGCGUGCACUGGUCCGACCGGGUCUUUCCUUCUGGGGAGCCGCAUGCCCUUCACUGGGUGUGUCGGGGAACCAGGACUUUUACUUUGAAAAAAUUAGAGUGUUCAAAGCAGGCCUAUGCUCGAAUACAUUAGCAUGGAAUAAUAGAAUAGGACGUGUGGUUCUAUUUUGUUGGUUUCUAGGACCGCCGUAAUGAUUAAUAGGGAUAGUCGGGGGCGUCAGUAUUCAAUUGUCAGAGGUGAAAUUCUUGGAUUUAUUGAAGACUAACUACUGCGAAAGCAUUCGCCAAGGAUGUUUUCAUUAAUCAGUGAACGAAAGUUAGGGGAUCGAAGACGAUCAGAUACCGUCGUAGUCUUAACCAUAAACUAUGCCGACUAGGGAUCGGGCGAUGUUAUCUUUUUGACUCGCUCGGCACCUUACGAGAAAUCAAAGUCUUUGGGUUCUGGGGGGAGUAUGGUCGCAAGGCUGAAACUUAAA